AUGUUUACGUAUUUUCAGUUCUUAGCAACGCUGUUUACUGUAUAUAGUUACUACCAAUUUUCCGUAGCACGGCGUCUGCUGAUAGAAAACAAGUGAUAAAUAAAUAAUCAAGUGAUCAUGGAAGAAGAGAAGAGUAAAGAAGAGCUUGAAGAUUGGAAAGUAUUCGAAGUAUUAAGAGGCAAAAGCCCAAUCGAGAUGGAAGCAGAUAUUGGCAAUGAUGUGGUGACAGCUUUGAGAAGUGAUUUAGCUGGACUUCAAUAUAAACGAGACAAAUUAUUUUCUGAAAAUAGCGAUUUGAAGAACCAAAUGCUGUCCAGAGAUCAAAGAAUCUUAGAGCAACAGGUGGAGAUUGACCAUCUUCGUGAGCAAAAUGCGCGCCAAAAUGCUAUUAUAUCAUCUCUCAAGAAGAAGAUUCAAGAUCUUGAAGAGAUCCAACGCAAUUUACAAGCUUCGCAAGGCAGAAGCGAAUUGACUGUACAAACGUUGCAGAGGGAUAACCGUUACUGUGAAGAAAAGAUCAAAGAUUUGGAGAAAAAAUUAAGAUCUCUAGAAUUAGAAUGCCAUAAUGAGGAACAACAAAAAGAAAAUGCUCGUUGUCAGUUUCACGAUCUCGUUAGAAGACUGUCAGUUGCACUGGACGCAGAUUUCUGUGAUACUACACACACGCAUUCGCCUGAAAGUCUUAUUAUUAAAGCGGCUGAACUCGUGCAGGAAAUAACUAGACUGAAAAAUAAAUGUAUGAACACAACAGAAAACUUAUCGACGAUUGAGCAAGAUCUCAGAAGUUGCAGAGAUUGUUUGGAAAGAGCGAAUGCUGACAAAGAUAUUUUACAGAGGCAGCUCUCUUCCCAGCUUCUCGAUAUUGAAAGACUCAAGCAAGAGAAGGAAUCUCUCUCUGUAUCAAACAGAGUUUUGGAAAGAGAAUUGCACGAAGCAAGAGAGAAACUAUCACACUGUACGAAAAACUUAAAUGUUGUUACUGAUAACGUCAAUCAAAAUGAGUCCAUGAUUAUACAACUAAAAGAGGAUUUGAGACAUCGGGAUGAAAAAUAUCAGAGAUUGCAGACAGAAUUCCGCAAUACCAUGGAAUCGAUUGCUAUAUUGCUCAGCCUACCCACACGUUUUGUUGAAGCUCACGAAAGCACUAUCAAAGACCGCAUAAGGGAAAUUUUGAGCGAAAAUAAGGAUAAAUCUGUACAAUUGGAAGCCCUACGUGAAAAACUAGGAAUGGAGUCGCAACAGCUUGGAAGGACCGCGCAUCUACACGAGCAAGCUACGACCCGUGUGCGUAUCCUUGAAGAUGAAAGGAACAUGCUCGAAGGAAAAGUCCAUAAAUUGGAGUCAGAGCUUAACGCUGUAGAAAUGUCAAGAGAUAACCUACGAAAGGAUAAGGCUAACUUCGUAGCAUUCCUCGAACGACUGAGCCGCACACUCAAUAUGGAUGAGUUGACUCAAGACAUCGGCUUAGAGCUUCACACCGACUCUAUAAUACACCGAGCCGAGCAGCUCGCCAGACUGGAGAGCGAUAAAAUUGUUGACAAGACUGCUGUCGUGUACCAACUGCAACGACGCAUACGCAUACUGAGAGAACAACUGCAGAGAAAGGACUUGCACUUGGAUUUGCUCCGGCGAAAAUUAAGCGUUCAGGAUGAAAGCUCCCGAGUCCGAGCUGUUCUCCAAGCGGAACGCGAUGAAGCUGUAAACCGUAGCAAGAAAUUGGCUCGACAGUGUGACAAACUCAGUGUGCAGUUGAGUGAAGCGCGCGCCCAGGUUCGCGAUCUCAACGCGCAACUCGCGGAUGCUGCUGAAUACAAGAUAACGUCACUUGAACGUGCACGAAAAAUUGAAGAACUACAAAAGAAAUUAGACGAAGCUGAACUACUUCGUACACGCUAUAGUCGAAAGGUGAAUCUUCUGAAGGAUCAAGUUAGAGCCACCGGGGAAACCUUCGAGCAAGAGAGAACUACGACAGAACAUCAGAUAACAAUGCUCAGAGAUGACAUCGCCAGGACCAAGGAAGCUCUCGCUGAAUGCCAGAGGAGGGAAGCCCAGCUGUUGAGCUUCAGGAGUUCGAUCGCCAAACUCCUCGGCAUACUAGUGCCUUCGUCUGUGUCGGACUUCGAAAUGGUGUCGAGACUACAGAAGCUGAUUGACGCGCAUCACGACUUUACGGUAGUCUCGCGACGAUACGACGACCCCGCGCUGCUGCGAGCCUCGUCCAGGUCUCCGCCGCCCUCCAGGUGCAGGACUCGGACUCCGGAUCGAUCCCUACGUUAUGAUGAUUCCGGAUACGCGGACCCGGCGUUCGACCUCGAGGACGACCUGUACAAGGGGCGUGCGGCUUUGUGACAGUCGCGCCGCCGCGCCCGCUUUUAACCGCCACCCGGAUAGGCUCGGCGAUACCUAAAACCCACACAUAAUAGGCGGAUACAUGACUACGCAGCAGCGUGCUGGCUAUCACACCAAGCUCAACUGUUAUCCUGCUGGUCGAUUAAAGAAGAGACUGCAUCAAUCGUUCUUACAACCUCAACUGUUGUGAUUGGCAGAAUUUAUGGUAUUCUUGGUGCA
This is an RNA transcript of Maniola jurtina (meadow brown), 2568 nucleotides long. It is a transcript of the gene named coiled-coil domain-containing protein 170, with no coding region annotated. NCBI's taxonomy places the organism in Eukaryota, Metazoa, Arthropoda, Insecta, Lepidoptera, Nymphalidae. The transcript has 12 exons. The record is from RefSeq and is a predicted model, not a curated record.